UUGUAUCUAUUACAUAUUAGGCUAUUAUUAUUAUCUCAGAUCUAUUAUUAACUCUACCGCCUAAAAAAACCUAUCAACUAAUAUAAAGUCGUAACAGUUUUAGUUAAAAGCCCAUCUUUUAUUUAAGCAGACUUUAACACCUCUACACUACCAGGGGUCGGGAGGGAGAACCGGGAGGGGGCGGAUAGCUCAGGUAGGUUACCCGUCCUGUCUAACGCCUCCUGCGGCCGCCUCUCCUGCGACGACGUCGGGACACCCUGGGGCGGCGGCGCCUGCGGACAGGUCGCCUGGAGGAUCUGCGUCUUCUGGGCAUUGUGAUUGAUGGAUAAGACUUUUAGACGGGCCGUGCUCCCUUUUAUAGGGCUGGAGGGGGCUGGGGUGAUGUCAUUAUGGGAUAAAUGAUGAUGCAAUAAUUAUUAAUGACAGUUUAAAUUUUGAAAACUUGUGAAUUCUGUGACGUCAUAGUAGCACUGGCAGGAUGAUGCAAUGAUAUUUUUUAUUUUGUAAAUUUAAAAAGUGAUAUUUUUUUGGGCCAACCCAAUGAACCAUGGUAGAAAUAAUCAAUCAGGUCUUUAUUUAAUGGUGAUUUGGAAUGUUGUAAGAGGAGAUCCUACUGCAGCAUAGAAUGCUUAAGGCAUAUUAUAAUUCAGAUAGGCUAUCAUGUGUAAAACACAUCUUCACUAGAUUAUGCCAAAAUAGAACAGAGGAUUUAAGGAAAGUCUCUAUUUAAUCAUCAAUUUCCUGCAGUCAAAUAACACAAGAAUGCUUUCUAAAAUGGUGGAUCUUCAGGAGCCCACUCCACCUGGAUACCAUGACAACCCACAAGUGAUUGACACUUGACAGAAUCACCGACCAGCUAUAGAGUCAGCAGGAGCAGCCAGCCCUCCGAUUCAUAUAGAGGAGCGCGUUCAGCAGCAAGCGAGCUUG
Molecule: non-coding RNA, 927 nt
Organism: Salmo salar (Atlantic salmon)
Lineage: Eukaryota; Metazoa; Chordata; Actinopteri; Salmoniformes; Salmonidae
Source: RefSeq, a predicted model, not a curated record